UCAGAAUAUAACCCAUUAAAAAAUAAAAAAUAAAAAAAACCCUAACAAUGAAAACCCUUCUUCUCCAUCUCCACCCACUCACCACCACCAACUUUCUCAUCCGAAAACCUAAUUAAUCGUCUCAUUCUUCUCAUCGUCUUCUCACACUAAAAGUUCAUCUCCUCAUCGUCUUCUCGCCUUGUCUUCAACGCCGCCGCCUUAAAGCUCUUUGCUGCCCAUCUCUCACUCCCCUUACGAUCAGGAGCAAUCGAAGCUGCUGGAGUUCCGAGGGUUCACCGGCCAGCCGUUAUACUCUUUGUGGUUUGGAUCGUAGAGUAAGGAGCGAGCAGUGUUCGUCGAUGAAGUGAAGUGCGUUGGAUGCUUGAAGUGUGCGUUGUCUGCAAGGAAAACGUUCGCCAUUGAAGCUGUUUACGGGCAAGCUCGAGUGGCCUCGUAGUGGGGUGAUCCAGAGGAGAAGAUUCUCGAAGCUAUCCAGACGUGGCCAGUGGAUUGCAUCUUGGACACAUCACAAUUGUUAAUUCUUAAGCACUUCACUUGAUUGGAACUUGUAGGGAUUUAUCAUUUAUAAGGAUUAUAUUGAAGAUGGCAAGGAAAGGAAAAGCACGAGUUAGAAAUUAUUCAAAUUCAGAAACACAAAAUAAUCAAACGCCAAACCAAGUUGAUGAUGAAAAUGUUGAAAUUAAUCUUGACUGUUCAUUGCCAUCAUCUACUCGAGCUUCAAAUGAAAUAUGUUCUUCUUCAGCACCUCCAAAUAAAAGACAUAGAAAAGUUAAUGUGAGAGGAAAGGCUAAAGGUGUCAAGUCAGGAGAAGGAAUUGAAGUUGAGAUAUAUGACAACAGGUAAAAUAUACCAUCUUGUAACUACUCAUGAAUAAAUUGUUGAUU
This is a long non-coding RNA of Dioscorea cayenensis subsp. rotundata (Guinea yam), 884 nucleotides long. RefSeq lists it as uncharacterized. The transcript has 5 exons. The record is from RefSeq and is a predicted model, not a curated record. NCBI's taxonomy places the organism in Eukaryota, Viridiplantae, Streptophyta, Magnoliopsida, Dioscoreales, Dioscoreaceae.